RNAcentral lists this ribosomal RNA (253 nucleotides) under uncultured bacterium. Its description in RNAcentral is "partial 16S ribosomal RNA". It matches the Rfam family "Bacterial small subunit ribosomal RNA", at positions 524 to 776 of the family's 1533-position model. The record is from RNAcentral.
UACGGAGGGUGCAAGCGUUGCUCGGAAUUAUUGGGCGUAAAGGGUAGGUAGGUGGUCUCGUUUGUCUGGGGUGAAAGCCUUGAGCUUAACUCAAGAAGUGCCCCAGAAACGGCGAGACUCGAGUUCUGGAGAGGGUCGUGGAAUUCCCGGUGUAGCGGUGAAAUGCGUAGAGAUCGGGAGGAACACCAGAGGCGAAGGCGGCGACCUGGACAGAUACUGACACUCAACUACGAAAGCGUGGGGAGCAAACAGG